This 452-nucleotide ribosomal RNA is filed under the name uncultured bacterium. RNAcentral's name for it is "bacterial SSU rRNA". It matches the Rfam family "Bacterial small subunit ribosomal RNA", at positions 954 to 1409 of the family's 1533-position model. The record is from RNAcentral.
AUGGGAACGCGAAGAACCUUACCUACUCUUGACAUCCAGAGAACUUUCCAGAGAUGGAUUGGUGCCUUCGGGAACUCUGAGACAGGUGCUGCAUGGCUGUCGUCAGCUCGUGUUGUGAAUGUUGGUUAAGUCCGCAACGAGCGCAACCCGUUAUCCUUUGUUGCCAGCGGUCCGGCCGGGAACUCAAAGGAGACUGCCAGUGAUAAACUGGAGGAAGGUGGGGAUGACGUCAAGUCAUCAUGGCCCUUACGAGUAGGGCUACACACGUGCUACAAUGGCGCAUACAAAGAGAAGCGACCUCGCGAGAGCAAGCGGACCUCAUAAAGUGCGUCGUAGUCCGGAUUGGAGUCUGCAACUCGACUCCAUGAAGUCGGAAUCGCUAGUAAUCGUAGAUCAGAAUGCUACGGUGAAUACGUUCCCGGGUCUUGUACACACCGAGUCGUGGGAGGCAA